GUUUAGAAAUGUCCCAUCAGACCUGAAGCCUGUGGGUCCAGAAGACACAUUUGAUCGGAUCCAACCUUUGGAAGAUCUGCUUGGAAAUUUCCCACUUCAUGUCCUGAGUCCAGGAACCCAGCAGUGGAAUUUUGUAGUGAAAGCAGAGUAUGCUCGGCUUAACCACACGCUCACCCUAGUGACCAGAGAACGUGAUUUGGCCGUGAAGGAGAAAAACGAGCUCCAAGCCAAGCUGGAGAACCUAGAACAGGUCCUAAAGGUAGGACGGGCUUCCCCUUCUGCUUUCCUUAGGGUCAGCGCGAGGAAGGAGGGACUGUGGGAUUCCAAAUCAGGAAGUGGUUGAAACUCCUUUUGAG
This 356-nucleotide long non-coding RNA is filed under the name Sus scrofa (pig). RNAcentral describes it as "lncRNA (ENSSSCG00070018858.1)". The record is from RNAcentral. Lineage: Eukaryota; Metazoa; Chordata; Mammalia; Artiodactyla; Suidae.